AUUGAACGCUGGCGGCAGGCCUAACACAUGCAAGUCGAGCGGAGCGACGGGCGGGUGGGUAAUGACUAGGAAUCUGACUGCUCGUGGGGGAUAGCGUCCGGCAAGGGGCGCUAAUACAGCAUACUAUCAGCUGAGCGUAGGGCGGAUUAGCUAGUUGGUGGGGUAAAGGCCUACCAAGGCGACGAUCCGUAACUGGUCUGAGAGGAUGAUCAGUCACACUGGAACUGAGACACGGUCCAGACUCCUACGGGAGGCAGCAGUGGGGAAUAUUGCACAAUGGGCGAAAGCCUGAUGCAGCCAUGCCGCGUGUGUGAAGAAGGUCUUCGGAUUGUAAAGUACUUUAAGUUGGGAGGCGUUACCAACAGAAGAAGCACCGGCUAACUCCGUGCCAGCAGCCGCGGUAAUUC
RNAcentral lists this ribosomal RNA (407 nucleotides) under uncultured bacterium. RNAcentral describes it as "partial 16S ribosomal RNA". It matches the Rfam family "Bacterial small subunit ribosomal RNA", at positions 30 to 526 of the family's 1533-position model. The record is from RNAcentral.